Molecule: long non-coding RNA, 905 nt
Filed under: Linum usitatissimum (flax)
Lineage: Eukaryota; Viridiplantae; Streptophyta; Magnoliopsida; Malpighiales; Linaceae
Description: long non-coding RNA (LUSI_LNC004810)
Source: RNAcentral
UCCCAUAAGUCUUCGACUCCCUCCAGAUCAUUUGAUUUGGCAUUUUAGCAAUAUGGGCAUCACACGGUUAAAUCGGCAUACAAGUUGGCCUGUCAAAUGCUAAGGUAGGAAUGGAACGAGAAUCAGAGGCUGUCUGUCGUAGGGAUAGGAUAGAGUUCCAUACUUUCCACGAAGAAAAGCAGAUAGCCACUCGCUCUUUAGGGUAAUCAUUACAAUUUCGUCCCGCCACCAACACUUACACACAGCUUAAAAUAGAGCAUCAUGUGUAAGUGUCCAGAGCGUUUUACUAACCUAAUGAUCUCCUGCGCAAGCAGAUGAGCUCCGAUACAAUGUUCUUUAGUUAGACCAUCCGUGACCAGUAGGAUUACUUUAUUCAAUCAAGAAAGGCUGUCUUUCGGUCGUCUACGUUAACUGAUAGCUGCUUGUUUUGUUCUAUUACCUAAGGCCUUCUUCAUUCGCUUGGAAUAGCAUCCGGAUCUGUGACAAAGAGAAUGACGGCUAAACCUCCUUGAUUCCUUGAAGAAGGUAUCAGUCUAUCCUAUUGAGACUACCGGGAAGAAGGGUCGAGUGUUCAAGUCUGAUCCUCUUGUAUUGAAUACAGUCUCCCUCAAGGGGGAAUAAGCACUUUCGGAACCGUCAUAAAAUGGAAGCGCCGUUAAAGCCUUAACUUAGAUAGGCAGCGAUAGAGGGGGAGGGAAUAAAAUAGCGCAAGCAGAUGAGCUCUUAUACAAUGUUCUUUAGUUAGACCAUCCGUGACCAGUAGGAUUACUUUAUUCAAUCAAGAAAGGCUGUCUUUCGGUCGUCUACGUUAACUGAUAGCUGCUUGUUUUGUUCUAUUACCUAAGGCCUUCUUCAUUCGCUUGGAAUAGCAUCCGGAUCUGUGACAAAGAGAAUGACGGCUAAAC